Molecule: ribosomal RNA, 253 nt
Filed under: uncultured bacterium
Lineage: Bacteria
Description: partial 16S ribosomal RNA
Rfam family: Bacterial small subunit ribosomal RNA
Source: RNAcentral
UACGUAGGGUGCGAGCGUUAAUCGGAAUUACUGGGCGUAAAGCGUGCGCAGACGGUUUUGUAAGCCAGAUGUGAAAUCCCCGGGCUUAACCUGGGAAUGGCAUUUGGGACUGCAAGGCUUGAGUUUGGCAGAGGAGACUGGAAUUCCUGGUGUAGCAGUGAAAUGCGUAGAUAUCAGGAGGAAUACCGAUGGCGAAGGCAGGUCUCUGGGCAUUACCUGACGCUGAGGAGCGAAAGUGUGGGGAGCGAACAGG